Molecule: ribosomal RNA, 253 nt
Filed under: uncultured bacterium
Lineage: Bacteria
Description: partial 16S ribosomal RNA
Rfam family: Bacterial small subunit ribosomal RNA
Source: RNAcentral
GACGAACCGUGCGAACGUUGUUCGGAUUCACUGGGCUUAAAGGGCGCGUAGGCGGGCCGCCAAGUCUGUGGUGAAAGCCCCCGGCUUAACCGGGGAAGUGCCGCGGAUACUGGCGGUCUCGAGGGGUGCAGGGGCAUGUGGAACUUCCGGUGGAGCGGUGAAAUGCGUAGAUAUCGGAAGGAACGCCGGUGGCGAAAGCGACGUGCUGGACACCUACUGACGCUGAGGCGCGAAAGCCAGGGGAGCAAACGGG